UACGUAGGGUGCGAGCGCUGUCCGGAAUUAUUGGGCGUAAAGGGCUCGUAGGCGGUCUGUUGCGUCGGGAGUGAAAACUCAGGGCUUAACCCUGAGCCUGCUUCCGAUACGGGCAGACUAGAGGUAUGCAGGGGGGAACGGAAUUCCUGGUGUAGCGGUGGAAUGCGCAGAUAUCAGGAGGAACACCGGUGGCGAAGGCGGUUCUCUGGGCAUUACCUGACGCUGAGGAGCGAAAGUGUGGGGAGCGAACAGG
This 253-nucleotide ribosomal RNA is filed under the name uncultured bacterium. Its description in RNAcentral is "partial 16S ribosomal RNA". It matches the Rfam family "Bacterial small subunit ribosomal RNA", at positions 524 to 776 of the family's 1533-position model. The record is from RNAcentral.